GUCUUUAGUAGGGCUGCCCUUCUUUAGGCUCUGAUAGUCGUCAUCAUCAUCAUCACUAAGAAUAUCGGAUUCUUUAACAAGAGCAUUGGAAAAGUCGGAGGAACAGCUCUGUACGUGUUGAUCGGGGGAUGAAGUUUUGGGCUCCUGUAUGCUCUCUGUGGUGUUGCAGCUGCUGCUCUGGGUGCUGCUGCUCAGGCUGCAGUCAUCAGAGUCCUGGAAGGUGCCUUUCCCCUGGUCACCGUUCCACUCACUGCUGGGUGAAUUCUUCAGUACCUUCAAGGACCUGGUGGAAGCUGUGCAGAAGAAGGCAGUUUUAUCUUCUCAUCCAAACAUCUGGUUAUACUGUCUGGCUUAACAACCCACUUCCAGUCACAGUGUACAUAGUCUCAUUCAAGGUCAGGUGUGUCAGCAUUCUAGUACCAACAGUGUAGUUAAGCAUCAGAUUUUUCAGUCUUACCUCCUCCAGAGUUAUAUGCUUGCCUUUCUGUGCAGGCAUAUAUACCUCAAGCACUAGAGGGCCAAGUUGUAGGCAUGAGUUGAACUGUCCCUGAUCCUGCCAUGUAAUGGGGAUUUUGGUCAACUGAACACAUAGAGAACUAGAAAUACUAGUAGCCAACUAGUAGAUAAAAAGCCUGAAGCCUGUGCUUAAUUAAUUAGGGUAUGUGCUGGGAUGCAGAUUAAGAGAACAUGGAAAGAAACAAACAAGAGCCCUGUCUUUUGUUAUUUGUUUCAGCUUUAAAUGUUAGCAGGGCUGAGACACUAGAGAUAACCCAGAGGAAAGAACGCAGUAUUCUGCAUGCCAAAGGGAGUCUGUUUCUAACCAACAAAAUGGGGCCUUACUAAGUCUUCCCUUAAGACAGCUAAUGACAAAUCAAACAGGACAAUACAGUGGGGGACAGCAAGCUUGCUUAUCUCCUCUAGCCCUUGCCAUACACCGAGUUGUGGAGAAACUGCUGCAACUAAUCAACCUGAAAAAGAAAUGGAAUUUGUGGGUCUGGCACAUGACACCAUACAGCCACUUUAACAACUGUGAAUCAUCUGCCAGCUCUGGAUUCCAUUUUUCACUUUGAGAACCUGUUUCUUACCCAGUUUAGCUGUCGCAGGCACACGGUUCUUCAGUGGAAUGAGGCGAUCUUUACAGGUUUUGUCCAGAGGCAGCUCACAUUUUAUGUGACGUCUGAAAUUCUCCCGCAAGAUAGAACGGAUCACCUUCACGAUGUUAGUCUUGUUCUCGCAGUCGCUGCAAGUUUAAGAGAACAGGUAAUCUAAUUUUCACAUCUGAAGAAAGACAGCUGAAAUCAAAUUCAACCUCCUGCUUUCUGUUGAUGUGCUUUAGCGCAGUGGUUUUUUUUCAGUCACUUUCCUUAGUUUGGCAGUUAACAUUGUUCUGUGUUGUUAAACACAAAACACGCUCUUGUGUUUUGAGAUCUUUCUUGCUUCCUUUAGAAAAACAGCCUGAAAGAGACUUUAGGUACCCAAGCAUUACCCUUGAGCGGUGUUAUCAGAUUAGGGGUAGGCAAUUUCUGCUAACCAACCAAGAGUCUGGUAAAAUUAGUCUGCCCCUAUCAUGCUGGAAUUUAUGAUACUACACCUGUGCAGAUUUCCACUGUAUCACUGCAUCAAGUUCAGCGUAGUUUCAAACUGUUAUAUCUGGUAUAUCUUACACAGUUAAACAGUGGCGUAGUGCCUGGAUUUAAAGACUGAUAACAGCUUUAGAAGUGCUGAUAUAAAGAUCACAGGGUGGAGGGAUCUUGUACUUUUUUUUUGUUUCAUUAAUGUAAUUCAUCCAGCUUCCAUCAAAAGCUUACCUGCUGCAUAACUGAAAAAUGGUUUCUGGCCUGCCUUCCAGUUCUGACUUUGUGUGAAUCAGUUCCCAGAUACAGCUGUUCUCUGUUCCUGUGCAUAGAAGAAAGCAUUUUUUUUAUAUAUACUUUGCAAAACAGUCAGCAUCAGAAAGACCCAUGGAGAGCAGUGUUAACAUAGGUGUGGUAGAUCCACAGAAGAUCUCAUCUGAGGUAGAACCUUAAAGAAACUUCCCUGAACUCUCAAGUUCUAGCAGCCUUGCAGGGCUACCUUUGAAAACUCGACCUUCUCUCUUGGAGAGUUUCUUUCCCCCAUUCUUAUGCUUCUUGCUGCCUUCCAGCCUUAGAAGACCUUCUCCCAUUUCCUCUAAGACACUUGGUGACACUACACAAGGUUCUGAACUGGGUAGGAUCAUAAAGAUCAACUCAGAGAAAACAAAAACAUGGUCCUCUAUGACAUCAGAUAUACAGUCAGCUUCCUACAGUUGGAAAAACACAAGACUCCGCACACAGAAAGGGCAUUAUCAGGAUGUCAGCCAAGGUAAAUCCCCAUCCUGUUCCUUGUAUCUUUCUAUCGGGAAUUUUCAUUCUGUCAUACCUUCCUAUCACCGCGCAUCUUCCUGAACUCAGGGAAGAAGAGGGAUGAAGCCAGCAUAUGGAAUUGAGAAAGUCUGUUUAUGAAUCAGGUCUGUGUCCUCUGAGGUCAGAGACAACAGUAGAUAUUACUUUCUCUAUGCCUGCCUGUUCCCAGCAGCUCCUAAAUGACAUACAGAAGAAGCAGUACUGGAGAAUCCCAGAAAACUAUUCAUUACAGAGUUUUCAGUACAAGGGAAUUAAUUACCUGCUGUGUUCCCAAGCCGAACUUGAAGAGCAGAUAGAGGAAUCAGCCAGCGAAACUUAAAUGGAUCCAAGUCACCAUAAUUAUGGGCAGCACGAACAUUAGUAGGCUGCAAAAACAAAAACAAGAGGUUAUUUCUAGUGGUUCUUUUAUGCUUUAAUUUUAGACCCAUCACUAAAGAGAAACUGCAGUUCAUUAGACUUUUUCCUUCAUACCCUUAAUGCAUGCUUGUAAGUGUAGCUGGAAUGGUGAUAGACACAGCCUUGGACUUUGUAGUUGCUUCAGCUUUUAAAAGCACUAGUUUUUAAUGGAUAAAAGUAAUACAUAAGUGCUACUAGGGAACAAACUUUCCAUGAAGAAAUAGUCUAGAGACUGUAUAUUAGCAGAAAAUUAAGUUAAUCAUGUCACUGCUGCUGCUACUAGUCUUAAAGCCCUUUCAUCUCUUAGGAUUUGCAGGUUGCAGUACAUUGCCACUGAUACUCAGGAUAUACAGCUUGCUUCCUUAGUAUUCCAAUUUUGUAAAUGGGGCCAGAGGAAGUUACAUUUGUAAUGCUUCCUUUCCUUUCAAAGUUAUCGAGGAUCUAUAAACAGAGGUCAUCUGGAUGGAAGCGAUUACUGCAUGGUAGUGUUUCAUCCCGGACAAAAGGAAUGCAUUGCUGACAUAGAGAAGAUGCUGGAGCUUACUAAACAGCACUAAAAACAAACAAACAACAACAACAAAAAAAACCCACAACAACUACAACUUACUGUUACAUAAAUACUGAGCACUUAUUUUAUCUGUGCUAGCCAAAAUUCCAGCCCAGUGAGAGGAGGUGGCGUUUUACCACAGCCACUCCCUCUUCAACACCAGUAUGAUCCAUUCUACAUAACAGCAGGAUCCUGCACAUAAACAUCCACCACAACUCACACACCAGGCUUACCAUUUUCUUUUUCAGUUUGUAGUUCUCUUUAUACACCAGUAUUACAGCCCUCUUAAAAACUAAAAAAGAAAGGAAGAGAGAGAGAAAAAAGAAGACUCUUAAAGGCAGAUACAAUAUUCAGUGAAAAUAUUAUCUUGAAGAAGCUGAAUAUUAAAAAGUAAUAAGACGAGAUAAACAAAGUGAUUGGGAAGCAUCUACACUGUAUUAAAGCAUUGAGUUUUUCAUCCCACAUUUGUUCAUGCAGUAGCAACAUCUAUUCUCAGAUUUUCUGAUGAACUUUUAGGAUGAAGCCAUUCUGCACUUGCAUUAUGAAACUACUGGCAGCCUGGCUCCUGCAAGUCUCCACACAAACAAAUAAAGCUGAUGUAGUUUAGAUGUAAAGAUCCAGGUUUUCUUUUGGAUGGAUGCCUUCAAGUGGAGUGAAAUGCCAGUACUAAGAGAGGACUGUGAAAAAGGAUGAUAAGUCUUCAUGCAGGCCAGCUUUUGUUCAAUUGGAAACAUUCAUUCAUCUCAAUUCCUACUUCUCCUUCUGAAGGAAUUCUCUGUCUUUCACAGCAUCUGACUGGAGCGGCUCACUAAUGGUAUCUAAUCUCUCAGCCUCCAGUGAGGCAGGGGCAUGUUCUCCCUAGUCAGUAAGGAGAGAACAGAAAACCAGGGGCAGUGAAGGUGCAUCUGAACUAUGGGAUAGCAGUCCUGGAUCCCAGAUUUGAUGAGGGCAGUAUACCUCUGCUCUAUCCUUACUCACGCAUCCAUAUUUCCUUCCAGUGGGAGGGAGAGGGACUGAUGAUACAGUAGGCUUUCAUGCCUACGUGAAGCCAGGAUGCAGACACAGUGAGCACAGCAUUUACUCUAGAGCUGGGCAUAGUUUCCUUCAGUUCCACAUAUUAAGUGCACUUUUCAAGCUGCAGUAGACUAAAUUGGGAAUAAAACCAGGUUUCUCAGGUGGCGGACAAGCAGUCUAAGCUAGGUUUCAGGCCAGAGUCCCUUCAUUUACUUAUACACACUCUGCUGGAAACUCCCACUUCCUGGGCUUAAGUGACUGGCAUAUUUGGAUCACUGAGAAGCUCAUCCAAGUCAACAUGUGGAAGCAGUUCACGCUUGUUCCUCUGUUUAAAAGCACUCUCUCCCCCUAUCUUGUCAUGCUUAGAGAAACUUGGAAACGUAGGAAAACUUGUCUCUUCAUGAACCUGGAGUUGUUCUCUGGGUCCAAAGACAUUUUAAAUAGAUGUAGACAAAUGCCUAAUGUUUCAGUGGAACCUUUUGAUUACUUAGUUAAUAAAUGAUUAAUAGCAUGUAUACUGUUCAGUAAAACUUUUGGUUCUGUGCUCUGAUAUCCACUUACACGUUUCAGGUUUAAAUAACCUGAAUGAGGACUCGCAGGCAAAACAUUUUGAUGCAACAGUUGUAAAACAGGUUAUUCUGUAUUCCCAGGAGUGAAAUAAAUCACCAUUUUCCUACCAGCCUCAUUUGAAAGACUUAUUUACCGUAUUAUUUUAGAGAGAAUAUUGUUGCUUGAAAAUCAUUGAUUUCCAUACGUGACACACAGAGUAUAUAAGGUUGGCUCACAGAACAGACAGUAGCAGCAAGCAAAUUAAAUGGAAAUUUUUCACUUGAAUUAGGAAAUCUAACACUUCUGCAUAUACUUUCAGAUGCAAGUCUAGCAUAGAUAACCCAUGGUUACAGGAAAAGGAGGUAGUGGCUUUAAUCUUGGGGGAAAUUUUAAUUUCUUCAUCUUUAGAUCUGAAAGAGCAGAGUCAUGAAGGAAGACACUUACCAAACACUGUAAGUUCAAGGUCUUUUCUUGCUUUGCCCAGUGAUGGGAAGGGAUUUAGCCAGGAAACUGUAGAGUGCAUCAGAAGUUCUCCCAUGGAAAGUUCAGUCACCUGGAUUAAAUUAAACAAUAAUUAAUUAACAGAAAAAAAAAAUAAGCAAUAUACAUCAAUGCCAUGAUCCACAGGUGGAAGUAAAUUAAAAUGAGUACGCAUUGAUAGCAUUAAUGAUAUUAUUUCUGUACUUAAUGAAUGUACACAGUGAGCAAGACAGGGAGAUCUGUACUAAGGCAGGACAGUGGGAGUAGUCCCCCUAGGUUGCUCUGAAAGUAAUAGCUCCCAUUUAUUUCCAUGGUAACUACAACAAAUACAAAGAGCACAAUAACAUGGAUUUGAUAGAGCAAAUUCUCAACUACCAAAAACUAUUUUUCAACAGUCAGCUGAUUCACAUGGAUGAGCUAGUUAAUAUGUUCUUCAUUUUACAGUGUGACAGUUGUGCAUGGCUGUCUGGAAUGUGGCUUGUCUUUCACACUGCUGUCACCACUGCUGAAACACACUCUUCACUGUGCUCACUUCCACUGUCUCUAUAAAUGUUUAGCAAGCAUCAAUGAACGUCAGUGGGUGCAGUGUUUUCUGCAUGGAGGAAUUCAGUGACACACCUUUGCUUCAUAUGCACUUCUGUGUUGGAUGCCAUUUGUCAGACUGCCCCUCUGCUGCCAUUUGUUACAGAGCAACAAGACGUAACAAAAUACUGGUGGGAAGGGUCAGCCUGUACAGCCACACCACCACCAUCUCCUUCCGAUGUUGUGGGCCAACAGAAUAAAAUAAGAGGCAUUGCUUUCAGAGCAGCCUUUAUAAAACAGAUAAUAACCAUAAAAGUAAUAGCAUCUAAGUUACGGAUGCUGGAUAGAAGUUCUUACUCUUAGCUUACUAAUAUAUCUUACUAUAGCUUAUAAGAUUAAGUUGACCUGAUGAUCUGUCUACAUAUAGCCAGUUGCAAACUGGCUGAUUUAUUAGAGGUAAAUGUCUUUAUACAGUAAUUAGUAUUAAUGAUACUGCCAAUGGCAUAAUUAAUGCAGGUCUUGCUCUCCAGGGCUCUUAUUUCUUCAGUAGACUACAGUGUAAAACUGAAGAGUAUCUCAGGCUGUCAAGUUUGUUUCCUAUAAAUGAUGAGAAACUAGACUGCCAAUGGAGGCGAUUUGGCUUUUAAUGUAAGGAAAUAAAACAACUGAGUUGGCAUCUUUGCAUUCAAUCUCUACCUCUACUGAUUGUGUCUGCUUCGUAAUUGUUUGAUGUAAAUGCCUAAGUUGAGACAUCUCUGCCCCAGUUCUGUGAGAUGUGUGCGCACAGUUCAUUCAGCUAAUGGCUUUUGCUCUCUCAGAUACUCACGGAUGCCUCAGCACUAGAAGCGUAGAGAAUGAGAAUAACAGGCAUUAGUGAAAUCCCUAGAAUUGCCACUUUCAUUUAUAUGGGUGGAAAAAAAAAUCUUAAGAACUGAAGAACUCUGAAGCAUAAAAUUUGAAUGCCUUUGGGCAUGGAUAAUCUCUGCAGCACUUCAGAAGAGGAAGAUGUCUUUAUUUUUUCCUACUGAGAAUUAACGUCUAUGCCUGUUUGCAAUUCUUGUCAGUCCAGAAGGUUGUCUGAGAAUUUUUACUGUAACCUACUGACAAAAAGAAGCUUCACAGGCAGAUACGAAAUGGAAGUCAAAAUAUUAAAGGAGAAUGAAGGACGCACAGCACAAAUAAGUUCCCAAAAUUACUUCAGGAAGAGAUAAAGACCCCCAACAGUUAGAAGGGGCGAAUAAAAUACGUUGUUCCUUCUCUUACCUCCUUCUCUGUUCCACUUUGAUCUGCAACCAGUUGAUCAAAUACAGUGCCAUAAUCUUCAUAUAUCUUCUGCAUCUCAUUGAUGUGACUUGCUACUUUUUCCAUUGCCUUCAGCGCUUCUAUAAAGUUUAAGAAAUUCAUAGACAGCUAUGUAAUUCAAUUGUAUUUUCUAACCAUGACAUUUUGCAUAGAAUUCUACUUGAGGCAGCCAAAAUCAUGUAGCAUUCCCAAAGUUUGUUGAUCAGAAUUCAGAUCAGUGCUUCUCAAAGCAGCUGCAGAAAGCAUUCUUCCUGAUCAAAGUGAAAAAUGCUUAUCUGAUCUCUUAAGUGCCUGAGCAGAUAGCAGUAAGCGUUCUAGUGAUGAAUAUUCAUGUAUUUGGGGUUCAUAACAAUAUGACAAGAAACAGAGUUAGGUUUUGCAUCUUGUAUAAAGGGGGCCACUAGGCUAUCCAGAGUCAUAAACACCCAUACUAGAAUAAAUAAAUUAAUAAUCUAAUGAACUUUGAUGGAAAAUAAUUGAAUUUGGCUCAUCACAAAAAAUAAAUAAAUAUAGUGCUAGGCUACACGAAGUCAUGACUGGUUGUUAUUUAUGAAAUUAAAUGCUGGCAGUCAAGUUUUAUUUAAAUUUUGUUUUCUAGGCAAAGAAUGACACUAGAUUGCAUUACUUUAUUGUUCAUACACAAAGGAGUUGGAUAAGGGCACUUAAUUACCCUAGUUCUGCCACCUCUUAAUGGUGUAGUCUUUUAACAGUUUGGCAUUCAGCCUUGACCUACAAGCAAGUCAUCCUCAACCUGGUUGUCAUGGCAAAAUACAGUAUUAGAAGCUCCCUUUGAAGUCAGUAAUGGCCUUGUGACUUUUUGCUGACAGGGCAUUUGGCCUGAAUCUAUUUUGUUAAAAUGAAAAUCGAUCCAUGAAAUUCAUCUCUGGACUUUCAUCCUUAAGGUGCUGACAGACAUGAACUGAAAUUUGUCAGGGUGAAGUCCCAAGCAUCUGAGCCUAGAAAAAGAAUCUAAUAUAUAUCUAUUAGGGCAGACACGUAUUUCUGUGUGUGAAGACUGUUUUGACACAGAACUCUUCCACACAAGCAGGAAUCACAGCCAAGCCUCAAACAACUAAAAUUUCCUUCUGCAGUGCUGUUAAAAUUUGACACAUUUCAAGAACUGAAUAAUAACCACAGUAAGUUAUUUCCAAGUGGAAAAACAACAUAAUGAGCUUCUGUCACAAGGAUUAAGGGGAAAGUCCCCGGCCCUGUUUGUCAUGACAAAUUCUGGUUGUAUCUAUUUUUCAAGGAGAUUUCGACAUACCAAGAGGGAUUUUUUGCUAAAAGCACAAUAAAGCUACUUCCUAUUUUUAAAGAGAGAGAGGGAAUUCUCUAAGUUUCGACAAGUUCUGUGCUAUCUAACAGAACGGCUACCUGCAUCUUCAGAAGAGGCUGGAAACCAAACUUAACUCAUAUUCAUUCCUGUAGAAGAAUCCAAGAAGUUACCUGUCAAAUGGUAGUGCUCCUCACUCUCGUUGUCUGUCAGGGACACCAGCUCUUUCAAAAGCAGAGGAUAUUUCAGCACUCUCUGAACAGGCUUUAUGAGAUACGACUCCAGCGUAGAGGAGUGUUGCUUUGUAGGAUUGCGAGCAUCCAAGAAGGCCUUAAAUGCACUGUCUGUUUUGGCUAAAUAGAAAUGAAUGGGUUUAUCGGUUGAACGUGGAAGUCAUAGUGUGAAAGCACAGAAUUGCAACUUGUAACCAGCAUCAAAUACCUCACCUUUUUCAAUAGAUGUUUUACACUAUUCAUGUCAUUGUCGUUUCCUGCAUUAAAUAAUGUACAGAAGGGCUAAGAGAGCAAUCAUCUAAAGGUGACAUGAUUCCUCUGCACUGCAGGCCUCUUCUGCAUCAAAUUAAAGAAGUGAUAGAGGAAGUAAUUCCUCACUUACUCUUCCAUUCAUGGCAGCUUUGAUCGACAUCCAUCAUUUAACAUGCAAGCAUAUGCAAACCAAAUAUAGCUGCUGCUUUUUGGAGUAUGAACUAAAUCUGCAGACAGCACAAACCUGUGGCAGAUGUUUCUGUUGCUAUUCAGGCUACCGCUUAGUUGUCACAAAAGAAAUCUCAUCCCUUCAGUUCUAUACCGUACUGUAGCAGAACUGCAGAUCUCAGCUCUUUCUAUUGAAAGAUAUCCUAUUAGUCCUUCCUUUGUACCCAUAUUUGCUGCAGGUCAACAGAGUUUGUUACAGUGUUUCACUGAAGUUUAAAGUCAUGCAAAUGAAUUGUAGUAAUGAAGACAAUGAAUUACCUCUCUCAAGAACUUUCUGAACUUUGAUGUGGUUGGCACAAAAGCCACUGUACAGUUUGAAGUGGUCAGCAUAAUACAGAAACGAUCCUCCCAGGGAAAACAGCAAUUUCUGAAAUCAACACAAUCAAAAUAUUUAUUACCAGAACCUGAAAUAAACAUUCAGGUACAUAACACAGAGACUCAAUGGUGUAUCUGCUGUCUUUCUAUUUGUAUCUUAGAGUGUAUAUAUAUACACACACACACACAUAUAUACACACACAUAUAUAUAUAUGUAUAUGUGUGUAUAUUAUAUACACAUAUAAAGAUACAUGCAUGUGUGUGUGUAUAUAUACAUAUAUAUAUAAACUAUAUUACAUGAAUACAUUAUCCGUAGUAGUUCCAUGAUGCUUCUCUGUUUCUGUAGACUUCAGCCUAAUUAGGCAAAGCCUGCAGUUUUCUCAGUUCUCCCUGAGCAAACACCACCACUGUAGGCAUUGUCUUACUGUAUCUUUGAGACAGAACAGUAGCAAAAAACUAUAGACAUGUAACAGGUACAUUGUGCUGGUAAAACACCUGAGCACUUGGAAGUGGGUUAUGAAAGUGCCAAAACCAGAAGAGAGAGUGUAAAACAAACACAGGAUUGCUUUCCAACUGUUUUCCUUCUUUUGGGCAGGUGAUAAUUACAGGGCACCUCUGCUUUUCCUGGAUGAAGAGGAGGAUGGGAAGAUGUGGGAGGGACUGAAUCACGAGGGAGAUCUUUUUAGAGAAAUGCUUCUCACAGCAAAGAUAAGAAAGAGAAGUAGUGAUGGAGGAAGAGGUGGAGGAGGAGGAGGAGAAAGAGAGCAACCUUCUCCCAUCUUUUUGAUCAGUGUUUGCUCCACAAAAAACAAGGGUCAAGGAGACCUGCCAGCAGUCUCUCCUAGGUUUGUGACAGCGCCAACAUCUCAGGGGAGCCUUGUUCCUCAGUUAUGUCAAGCACUGUGUGGAGCCACUGGGAAGACGACAGCACAGCGAGGGCACAAACUACAGUCAUCUACACUUCAUAGAUGUGACCCUGUUAGACCUCACAACAUGAGAAGCUCAUGCUGCAUUUAAAAGGAAAAGCUCCCAGUCUGCAGCAGGUGAACUGGACAUAGCAGGGAGCACAAGGCAGGGCAGAAUUCAGCAUAGCAACAAUAACCUUUCUACAGAAGUUACACUUUGUGUAAGCAGUGCUACUUCAUAGCAUACUCAAAGUCUACUCUGCAUUGUCUGUGUUACAUCCUUUGCCAUGGGAAAGAGGAAAAACCAUGGAGAAUAGCACUCCACACUUCCACUGCUAAUAGGUUCAAACAUAAAAGCAACCAUAUGAAACAGAACUUUAAAGCCAGAUGUCCACAAACAUUUCCAGGCAAAUUGUAAGUUAUUAAAUAACCACAUAUCUACCCGGAACUGAGACGGUGUCUCCAGUGUGUUAAAGUCCGAGGAAGAAGAUAUUCCAUCUUCAAGGGUCUCCAAAAACACCUUCUGAAAAUCCAGCAUUUCUGGCAGACUGCCGAACAAGGACUCCAUCUGUGAAAAAACAUCAGUCUAUGUCAUACAGCACUCCAUACAGCUACCUUUGGUCUUGAGAAAAUAGUCCACUAAGGAGAUAUGGCACACCAAAAGAGGUCGCAUAGACCAGUAACAUAUUCAUUAAUAUUUUUCAAAUGCAUUUUAUUUAAAAGUCAUUAUAAAAAAAAGCAGAGAUUUCUUAGCAGUUAAAUCAGAAGUAAAACUACAAUUUUUUAAAAGUGAGUGAUGUGUGAACCAGAAAGAAAGACACACACAGGUGUAAAUCCUAUUGUUAUAUUCAUUGCUUUCCUUUUAUGUAGUGCUCUUAGCAGUGAAAAGCAAACAAACAAAAAGAAACCACACAAGGUCCUAACUCAUGAAAGAAUGGAAAGAACGUCUUUCAGUAAUUCCCUCACCUCAUCUUGUGUAAGGAAGGUUUCAUUUUGAAGAGGCUCCAAGUAUAGCUCAAAGAGGCAACUCAAGUCCUGCAAGAAAUAGAAUUUAUUCACUUCUUAUCUAACUAUUUGAAUUUGUUCUUUAUAUAACAACUGUGGGAAUACAGGUAAUUUCAGGAAUAAGUUAGAGAUACAAUUCCAUUCCUGUAAUGAAGUCACCUGUGUGUUGUUAGCACUACAGUGAUGGCUAAAUUAAAAGCGAAUUGAUUUCAGUGAAAUGUUUCUGUUUCAUCCUUCAGGAUUUACAGCUUGAUUAUUACAAAUUAUAUUUUAGUAUAGCAUGAGGAGGAAACAUUACAGAUGGUGGCUUUCUGAAGAUCUGUGUAUGUGAGCAGUAUCAAAUAUCUUAAUCAUGCAUGUUAGAUAAACCAUAUAAAUAGUCACUCAUUUAAACAUCAGCAAUAAUAUUUGUCAGGACGUGACAUUUUAAAAUCCUAUUAGGUAUUAAAGCAUUCAGUUAUAUUGUCAAGUGGUGUGAUUAGGGGCUUUUUCAGUCACUUCUUCAAAGAAUUGGUGCCACUUUUGAAGACUUACUAUCCCACACCAAAGCAUGACAGCAGGGUUGGGGCCCACACUGCAGGGCUCUGUGACCCUGAGGAAAGAAAUGGCAGAAAUUCUUCUGGAGAAGGAAUAAUGAGCAUCUCUGUGAGAAUCCCCAUAAAGAGCAUUUACAACCAGCCAGGAUUUUUGCCUGGUGCUACCACAUACUACAGCGACCUCUGUCAUCUCCUUUGUUCAAGUGAUUUCCCCAUAAGAAACACCAGCUGGACAUACACAAAGGUUCAUGUUCUGUAAAGCUUCCUCAAGCUUUACAGCAUAUGGUUGUAUUAGUGUAUGGAUGGAUAUGUUAAAAACAAGAGAGUGGAAGUUUCCCUUGUUUCCCAUACACACGUUGCUACAAUGAGUACUGAUA
This 12318-nucleotide long non-coding RNA is filed under the name Gallus gallus (chicken). Lineage: Eukaryota; Metazoa; Chordata; Aves; Galliformes; Phasianidae. The record is from RNAcentral.